RNAcentral lists this ribosomal RNA (332 nucleotides) under uncultured eukaryote. RNAcentral describes it as "partial 18S ribosomal RNA". It matches the Rfam family "Eukaryotic small subunit ribosomal RNA", at positions 1470 to 1796 of the family's 1831-position model. The record is from RNAcentral.
CCCUUAGAUGUUCUGGGCUGCACACAUGCUACACUGGCAGGUUCAGCGAGCUUCAUGCCCUGAUCUGAAAGGAAUGGGAAAUCUUUUCAAAACCUGCCGUGCUUGGGAUAGAUGUUUGCAAUUAUUCAUCUUCAACGAGGAUUGCCUUGUAAGCGCACGUCAUCAGCGUGCAUUGAAUACGACCCUGUAUUCUGUACACACCGCCCGUCGCUCCUACCGAUUGAAGUUUUCGGUGAGUUGACAGGAGGAUUUUUUUGAAACUGGUUCGCCAGUGGAUUUUAGAUCCAAAUGCCAACGAAUCGAUGGCUUUAGAGGAAGGAGAAGUCGUAACA